Molecule: long non-coding RNA, 980 nt
Organism: Centrocercus urophasianus (Greater sage-grouse)
Lineage: Eukaryota; Metazoa; Chordata; Aves; Galliformes; Phasianidae
Exons: 2
Source: RefSeq, a predicted model, not a curated record
AAAGGAGCCAAGUAAACCGGGAGAAAAAGUACAAAAAAAAGCAAGGGCAUUGACUGCAACAAUAUGGCAAAGCAAAAAAUUCAGAGCAACACAGUGAGACAAUAUAAAAGCUAACAAAACCUAAGGGGAGAGCAUGGAGGGAAAAAAAAAGUAAACCAGAGUGAAAGUCAAGAAGCAAGUUUGAAAGUAGGGCAAAGUAAAGCAAUGCCCGAAAACCAAGAGCCAAGGAACAGAAUGAACAACCAAAAGGAAAGCAAACCAGAAAAAACAAACAAAGAUGAAAUGAACAAAGCAGAGCAAAGGAAAAGGAGCAAUAGAGAAAGCAAAACCAAGUAGAAAAAAGAAAGCAAACCAAUGUGACCAAUGGAAAAACAGACAAUGAAGGGAAAGACAAAGAACCAAAGCCCACCAACAGAACAGCAAAGCAAUCGGAUUCAAUGAGACAGAAAAGCAAAGGUGACAAGAGACUGCGGUGCCGGCAAAAACUCACCAUCCGUGCCUGGGAGGAGGACAGGGUAGCUACUGGGCAUGCUGCCACCCCCAGCAGAGAUGCACGUCCUCAGCUGAUGCCCGUGGAGGAGUCUGCGGCUGCAAGCAGGACAAAACAUCUCUCUGGAGGAAGGGAAAGCGCUGGUGGUCAUGCCGAGGAGGAGGUCAGGGUAGCUACCGGGCACGGAUGCUGCCAGGCAUCUGAAGAAACGCCUCAAGUCCACAUUGAGGACAGAGGCAAGGACAGGGAGGAUGUAAGAAUGAACAAUCCAGAAGGCUAACGUCAGGUAAGUAAAGGCAAGGUAAGAGGAAGGAAGCAGCCAUGGGGACAAGGAAGGAGGAAGAACGUAAUGAAAGCAAAAGGAAAAGAUGAGAACAGAGAAGGCAUACUUUCAGAAUGCAAAGGCAUGGUCUGGCAAGAAAAAGAACCAACCAAAAAGAAAAAUAAGCACUAGAAAGCAAAGCCAAAGGAGCAGGAAACAAAAGCCAAA